This 429-nucleotide ribosomal RNA is filed under the name Fusobacteriota bacterium. RNAcentral's name for it is "Fusobacteria bacterium partial 16S ribosomal RNA". It matches the Rfam family "Bacterial small subunit ribosomal RNA", at positions 355 to 776 of the family's 1533-position model. Lineage: Bacteria; Fusobacteriati; Fusobacteriota. The record is from RNAcentral.
UGGGGAAUAUUGCACAAUGGGCGCAAGCCUGAUGCAGCCAUGCCGCGUGUAUGAAGAAGGCCUUCGGGUUGUAAAGUACUUUCAGCGGGGAGGAAGGGAGUAAAGUUAAUACCUUUGCUCAUUGACGUUACCCGCAGAAGAAGCACCGGCUAACUCCGUGCCAGCAGCCGCGGUAAUACGGAGGGUGCAAGCGUUAAUGGGAAUUACUGGGCGUAAAGCGCACGCAGGCGGUUUGUUAAGUCAGAUGUGAAAUCCCCGGGCUCAACCUGGGAACUGCAUCUGAUACUGGCAAGCUUGAGUCUCGUAGAGGGGGGUAGAAUUCCAGGUGUAGCGGUGAAAUGCGUAGAGAUCUGGAGGAAUACCGGUGGCGAAGGCGACUUACUGGGCUCAUUCUGACGCUGAGGAACGAAAGCGUGGGUAGCAAACAGG